This 253-nucleotide ribosomal RNA is filed under the name uncultured bacterium. RNAcentral's name for it is "partial 16S ribosomal RNA". It matches the Rfam family "Bacterial small subunit ribosomal RNA", at positions 524 to 776 of the family's 1533-position model. The record is from RNAcentral.
UACGUAGGGUGCAGGCGUUAAUCGGAAUUACUGGGCGUAAAGCGUGCGCAGGCGGUUUGCUAAGACAGGUGUGAAAUCCCCGGGCUUAACCUGGGAAUUGCGCUUAAGACUGGACUGCUUGAGUGCGGGAGAGGUGAGUGGAAUUCCCAGUGUAGAGGUGAAAUUCGUAGAUAUUGGGAAGAACACCAGUGGCGAAGGCGGCUCACUGGCCCGCAACUGACGCUGAGGCGCGAAAGCGUGGGGAGCAAACAGG